This 263-nucleotide ribosomal RNA is filed under the name uncultured Glomus. RNAcentral's name for it is "partial 18S ribosomal RNA". It matches the Rfam family "Eukaryotic small subunit ribosomal RNA", at positions 548 to 817 of the family's 1831-position model. Lineage: Eukaryota; Fungi; Glomeromycota; Glomeromycetes; Glomerales; Glomeraceae. The record is from RNAcentral.
UUGGAGGGCAAGUCUGGUGCCAGCAGCCGCGGUAAUUCCAGCUCCAAUAGCGUAUAUUAAAGUUGUUGCAGUUAAAAAGCUCGUAGUUGAAUUUCGGGAUCAGACUGUCGGUCGUGCCUCGGUACGCACUGGCAUUAUUGGUUUCUACCUUCUGAAGAACCGCGAUGUCAUUAAUUUGGUGUCGCGGGGAAUCAGGACUGUUACUUUGAAAAAAUUAGAGUGUUUAAAGCAGGCUUACGCUUGAAUACAUUAGCAUGGAAUGA